Molecule: ribosomal RNA, 425 nt
Filed under: uncultured rumen bacterium
Lineage: Bacteria
Description: bacterial SSU rRNA
Rfam family: Bacterial small subunit ribosomal RNA
Source: RNAcentral
GUGGGGAAUAUUGGACAAUGGCCGGAAGGCUGAUCCAGCCAUGCCGCGUGCGGGAAGGCGGCCCUAUGGGUUGUAAACCGCUUUUGCGGGGGAGCAAUAAGGUGCACGCGUGCACCGAUGAGAGUACCCUGCGAAUAAGCAUCGGCUAACUCCGUGCCAGCAGCCGCGGUAAUACGGAGGAUGCAAGCGUUAUCCGGAUUUAUUGGGUUUAAAGGGUGCGUAGGCGGUUUGCUAAGCGGGAGGUGAAAUGCCGGCGCUCAACGUCGGAAGUGCCUCCCGAACUGGUGGACUGGAAUGACUCUGCCGUGGGAGGAAUGUGUAGUGUAGCGGUGAAAUGCUUAGAGAUUACACAGAACACCGAUUGCGAAGGCAUCUCACGAAGGGUUGAUUGACGCUGAGGCACGAAAGCGUGGGGAUCAAACAGG